Molecule: microRNA precursor, 84 nt
Filed under: Bombyx mori (domestic silkworm)
Lineage: Eukaryota; Metazoa; Arthropoda; Insecta; Lepidoptera; Bombycidae
Description: mir-2807 microRNA precursor family
Rfam family: mir-2807 microRNA precursor family
Source: Rfam by way of RNAcentral
UUAACUCAUAUUUGUACGGAAUGGGAUCGCUUGCGUACGUUUGCCGCUAGGGGCGCUGUUCCAACUGCAUACAAAAUUGAGUUA